AGAGUUUGAUCCUGGCUCAGAUUGAACGCUGGCGGCAUGCCUAACACAUGCAAGUCGAACGGAAACGAAGGAAGCUUGCUUCCAGGCGUCGAGUGGCGGACGGGUGAGUAAUGCUUGGGAAUCUGCCCAAUAGUGGGGGAAAAUUCGAGGAAACUCGAACUAAUACCGCAUAAGCUCUUCGGAGGAAAGGGGGCCUCUACAUGUAAGCUCUCGCUAAUGGAUGAGCCCAAGUCAGAUUAGCUUGUUGGUAAGGUAAUGGCUUACCAAGGCUACGAUCUGUAGCUGGUCUGAGAGGAUGAUCAGCCACACUGGGACUGAGACACGGCCCAGACUCCUACGGGAGGCAGCAGUGGGGAAUAUUGCACAAUGGGCGAAAGCCUGAUGCAGCAAUGCCGCGUGUGUGAAGAAGGCUCUAGGGUUGUAAAGCACUUUCAAUAAGGAAGAAAAGCAUGAGGUUAAUAACUUCAUGUAUUGACUUAACUUAUACAAGAAGCACCGGCUAAUUCCGUGCCAGCAGCCGCGGUAAUACGGAAGGUGCAAGCGUUAAUCGGAAUUACUGGGCGUAAAGCGCGCGUAGGCUGUUAUCUAAGUCGAAUGUGAAAUCCUCGGGCUCAACCUGGGAACUGCAUCCGAAACUGGAUAACUAGAGUAUGGGAGAGGUAAGUAGAAUUUCCGGUGUAGCGGUGAAAUGCGUAGAUAUCGGAAGGAAUACCAGUGGCGAAGGCGGCUUACUGGCCAAGUUAUGACGCUGAGGGACGAAAGCGUGGGUAGCAAACAGGAUUAGAUACCCUGGUAGUCCACGCCGUAAACGAUGACAACUAGCUGUUGGAAGUGAUAGAGCUUUU
Molecule: ribosomal RNA, 845 nt
Filed under: marine metagenome
Description: bacterial SSU rRNA
Rfam family: Bacterial small subunit ribosomal RNA
Source: RNAcentral